This 399-nucleotide ribosomal RNA is filed under the name Turbanella mustela. Its description in RNAcentral is "bacterial SSU rRNA". It matches the Rfam family "Eukaryotic small subunit ribosomal RNA", at positions 370 to 772 of the family's 1831-position model. The record is from RNAcentral. Lineage: Eukaryota; Metazoa; Gastrotricha; Macrodasyida; Turbanellidae.
UCAGGGUUCGAUUCCGGAGAGGGAGCAUGAGAAACGGCUACCACAUCCAAGGAAGGCAGCAGGCGCGCAAAUUACCCACUCCCGGCACGGGGAGGUAGUGACGAGAAAUAACGAUACGGAACUCUAUCGAGGCUCCGUAAUUGGAAUGAGUACACUUUAAACCCUUUAACGAGGAUCAAUUGGAGGGCAAGUCUGGUGCCAGCAGCCGCGGUAAUUCCAGCUCCAAUAGCGUAUACUAAAGUUGUUGCGUUUAAAAAGCUCGUAGUUGGAUCUCGGGCCAGGACCGGUGGUCCGCCGUACGGUUGUGACUGCCGGCUCCUGCCUAUAUUCGGCUCUCCCUUGAUGUCCUUCACUGGGUGUCUUGGGUGGCCGGAGCGUUUACCUUGAAAAAAUUAGUAG